This 107-nucleotide small RNA is filed under the name Marmota monax (woodchuck). Lineage: Eukaryota; Metazoa; Chordata; Mammalia; Rodentia; Sciuridae. The record is from RNAcentral.
GCUGGGCAUGGUGGUGCACGCCUGUAAUCCCAGCAAGUUGGAAGGCUGAGGCAGGAGGAUCACAAGUUCUAAGCCAGCCUCAGCAACUUAGUGAGAUCUUAUCUCAA